UUUCAGAGAAACAAGCCUUCAACAAAAGACAUCAUUGAUAAACAGCUUGCUUUAAAGGCAGAACUAAAGUUAGAUUUGUCGACAUUGGAUGACGAAAUAGAGGAUGAAGAUAUACCAGACACAUCAAGGACAACAGACAGUGAAUGGUUCAGUAUUAGUUUAAGUGACACAGAAGAAACUCCAAGACCACAUUUAAAGCCAUUCUUUUCAUCAGUAUUAGAAGACACACAUGUUUCAACAAUUACUAGAAAAUCAAAAGACUCUGUAAUAGAUAUAGAAGUUGACUUUCAAUCCAAACCUAUUAGUGGAUUCACGAGCUUUCGACAAUGGUUCUGUCAACUAUUUUGUUGUCAUAGCAAACCUGAUGAAGAUUUUGAACAUUGAUUAUAAUUAUUUUCGUUUUUUAUUUGUUUGUUGAAUAAAUCUUUUAUUUUUGUUUAA
Molecule: long non-coding RNA, 441 nt
Organism: Mytilus trossulus (common blue mussel)
Lineage: Eukaryota; Metazoa; Mollusca; Bivalvia; Mytilida; Mytilidae
Exons: 2
Source: RefSeq, a predicted model, not a curated record